UGGGGAAUUUUCCGCAAUGGGCGAAAGCCUGACGGAGCAAUGCCGCGUGGAGGUGGAAGGCCUACGGGUCGUCAACUUCUUUUCUCGGAGAAGAAACAAUGACGGUAUCUGAGGAAUAAGCAUCGGCUAACUCUGUGCCAGCAG
Molecule: ribosomal RNA, 144 nt
Filed under: uncultured bacterium
Lineage: Bacteria
Description: partial 16S rRNA
Rfam family: Bacterial small subunit ribosomal RNA
Source: RNAcentral